GCAGCGCGUUCUGACCGUAAAAACCGCAACGUCGAGACCGACCUCAGUCAUCAUCAACGACAACCGCAAGGGGAGAAAGAGGAAUAAAAAAAAAGUUAACAGUGUCUCAUCUCGGAAUGGCCACAGAGGAAGAGAUCAGGAUCAAGGCUCGCGCCUACAUCGACGACCUAAUCCGCGCUGCUCUCAUUGAAGUCAAGAGGAAGAACGAUUUCGAUAUGGGUCGGAAUAAUUUCAAGCGGAGUGAAAGCAGUCUAGAGAGCAAGGACCAACAGCAAUGGUAUAAACGACUCCGGAGUCAACUCUGCACCUGCGUGAAACCCCGAGCUCGGUGAAGCGUUCGUUACAUCGUGAAUCUACGUCCAACAUAGAAUCGGAUGUGUUCGAAGAUCUGGAAUCGAUAUCGGAUGAAUGUCAGCCUUCCAAUGUCCAUGUGUGAACCGAGGAGAAGUAUUUUCGGCCCAUGCGGUCGAAAGCAUGUGAUCAGAAGGGGACGAGAUGGAAUGAAUCGGAGGGAGUCGUAUCGAAACGAAUAAAUGAUG
Molecule: long non-coding RNA, 539 nt
Organism: Galendromus occidentalis (western predatory mite)
Lineage: Eukaryota; Metazoa; Arthropoda; Arachnida; Mesostigmata; Phytoseiidae
Exons: 3
Source: RefSeq, a predicted model, not a curated record